UUUCGCAAUGCCCGAAAGGGUGACGAAGCGACGCCGCGUGUGGGAAGAAGGCCUUCGGGUUGUAAACCACUGUCGGGAGUUAGGAAAUGCAGGUGCGUUAAUAGCGCACUUGCUUGACUAAGGCUCCAGAGGAAGCCACGGCUAACUCUGUGCCAGCAGCCGCGGUAAUACAGAGGCGGCAAGCGUUGUUCGGAAUUAUUGGGCGUAAGGAGCACGUAGGCGGCCUUGCAAGUCAGUUAUGAAAGCCUUCCGCUUAACGGAAGAACGGCAUCUGAUACUACAGGGCUUGAGUACGGGAGGGGAGAGUGGAACUUCUGGUGGAGCGGUGAAAUGCGUAGAUAUCAGAAGGAACGCCGGCGGCGAAAGCGACUCUCUGGUCCGAAACUGACGCUGAGUGUGCGAAAGCUAGGGGAGCAAACGGGAUUAGAUACCCCGGUAGUCCUAGCCGUAAACGAUGGGCACUAAGUAGAGGGGUUUU
This 478-nucleotide ribosomal RNA is filed under the name uncultured Planctomycetales bacterium. RNAcentral describes it as "bacterial SSU rRNA". It matches the Rfam family "Bacterial small subunit ribosomal RNA", at positions 364 to 832 of the family's 1533-position model. Lineage: Bacteria; Pseudomonadati; Planctomycetota; Planctomycetia; Planctomycetales. The record is from RNAcentral.